Molecule: long non-coding RNA, 543 nt
Organism: Cyprinus carpio (common carp)
Lineage: Eukaryota; Metazoa; Chordata; Actinopteri; Cypriniformes; Cyprinidae
Exons: 5
Source: RefSeq, a predicted model, not a curated record
GGAAAUCCACAUGAUGCAGUGGUGCUUCAUCCAAAGAAUGCUGGACUUAUCCUCAACAGCUUGCUAGAGAAGAGAUGAGCUCUGUGAGCUCUGUGUUUUUAACAAUCUUCUCAUGCCAAAUAAAAGUACAGGGAUCUAUCCUCCAGAAUUUGAUUGAUGACCCAGUAAUCAAGGGAGAGCAGUGUUUUUCAUGUGUGAUUGGCACAAGUUCACUUCGCAGAGCAGCUCAGCUAAAGAAACGAUUCCCUCAACUGGAGUUUGAAAAUAUUAGAGGGAACCUAAACACCCAUCUUAAGAAGCUGGAUGAAAAGGACGACUAUGCUGGUAUUAUUCUGGCCGCAGCAGGCCUCAAACGUAUGGACUGGGAAAGCUAAAUCAGUCAGGUUCUGGACCCUGAAGAUUGCAUUUAUGCAGUUGGCCAGGGAGCACUGGCAGUGGAAGUCAGAGCACAAGAUAAAGACAUUCUGGAAAUAGUGUCUGUCCUGCACCAUUCAGACACAAUGCUGCGGUGCAUCUCGGAGAGAGCUUUUCUCAAGCAGCUGG